GUGCAAAGGAGCAAAAUAAAUAAAUAAAUUAAAAUUAAAUACAGUUGGGAAAGAGGUAGUUGUUUGGGCUAAAUUAUAGGUGGGCUAUGUACAGGUGCAGUAAUCUGUGCAUGGUGAUGGACAGCCUGACUGAUCUGUCCAAGUCUGCAAUGGAGGAUGGUAAGUGAAAGUACCUCUUCAUCUGCAUAGGACUUCAUUGUAACAUGAUGCUCAUUACAUUGCGUUUUAUGAUGUAAACUUCACUGGUUGUGUCCAAAAUGGCACCUUCCAUGUUUAGUGCACUACUUUUGACCCUAUGGGCCCUGUUCAAAAGUAGUGCACUAUAAAUGGAAGAGAAUGGCUUUUGGGACACAGUGACUGAUUUCCAUUGUUGUGUCCUCUUCUCCCAGUUAUUGUACCCAGCUCGGUCACACCAGCUUGCUCUUCUUACUUAGACACCAGCAAUGCCGCAAGUGACAUCAUUUGUGGUGUUGUGGCUGACCUUAAUGCUACUGAGGAAUUCCCUGCCAGUGGCCUUAGCCCAGCUGAUGUAAAGGCUGACGGCAUGGCCCGCCUUCCUUCUGCCAGGGGUGAAGAGACUAAGAAGAACAGGAAGUGGCAUUUCCUACCCAAAAUUGUCAAGAUUCCAAAGAUCAGGAUUAAGCUGUACAAGACAAAAGGGGAACCGAAGAGCCACCCUGAACAGGAUUCUCUGCCUACCAAACGUCUCAGAGAGACUCGUAUUUCACAGGAUGCUGAGUGUGAGGUUCCAUCCACUUCCCCACCCAAGGAGGCCCUGACAACCACACUGGCGCCUGCUCCCCAGGAGUCCCAGUACCGUAAACGCCCUCUCAUAGUCAGGGUUGUUGCAUCCCCACACCUACCAGUGAAGCACCACAGGCUAGUAUGAGCGGUAGCUCUGGGUUGUUGUGAACUAACACCUGGCUACGAAGUAGAUGUGCUUUUCAGGAUGCCAAGACACAUAGGCUUUUCUGGGACCAUUCCCAUUUUACAUCUUUCUGCAGUGGAGCAGUCAUAGGCUUAACUAUGGUAGUUAGAUUUGGAAUGAAUUUGCCAUAAUAGUUAAGGAAGGAAAGAUAAGACCUGAACUCAGUGGUGUUUCUAGGAAUGGGAGCCUUCUCAAUAGCUUCAGUUCUGUUUCAUGGGCUGUAUCCCCUCUGCAUCUAUCACAUGACCUAAAUAGGCUAUGCUGUUCUGGAAGAAAGAACAUCUCUUAACUUUCAGAUUGCAGACUUUGUCUUUUUGGGACUUCUUCAAGAUUUCUCAUGUGCUCUUCUGUGUCACGCAUAUCAUCAAUAUAACAGAUUACCCCUUCUAUACCUUGUAGGAUCUGAACCAUCAUUUUCUGAAAAAUAUGACGCACAGGCAACACCAUAAGGAAGCCUGUUGACCUUAAAACAACCACUUAUGUGUAUUCAUGGUGAGAUAGUGCUUAGACCGCACCUCUAACUGUACUUGCUCAUAUGCCUGUGACAAAUUCAGCUUUGUUAACGUCUCACCCCCGGUCAGCUUUUUGAACAAGUCCUGUGUUUUUGGUAAGGGAUACUGAUCUACUUCCAGCCACAGAUUGAUAGUUACCUUGUAAUCUCCACAUAUUCUUACAGUACUGUCUGUUUUCAGGAUACACACAAUUGGAGCAGCCCAUUGACUGUAGUUAACUGGAGUAAGGACCCCUUCUGACUCCAACGUAACUAGCUGUUUUUCAACCGCUUCUCUAAGUGCAUACGGUACUGGGCAAGGACUGCAGAAUUUAUGUGCAGCCCUAUUAGUUACAUGUGACACAGUUACACAGCUUGGCUGUGAUACCUUUUAGCAUCCCUAGCUCUGGCUGAAACAUCUACUGUCUCUACAGCUGUUACUGUGUACAUGUGACCAGUCUAGCUUCAACUGACUGAUCCAGUCUCUACCCAGCAGGGCAGGACCAUUUCCUUCUACCACCAGCAAGUCUAAAAAAGUUGUACUCCCAUUACACUUGACCUUGACUAAGAUUUUCCCACUUAGAACUAAUGACUGUUUACUGUAUGUUUUUAACACCCAGUUUGCAGGGCUCAAUUUUGCACUUUUGAACUUGCUGUUGUACAACCUCUCUGACAUCAAACUGCUGCACCUGUAUCAACUUCCAUGUUGAGUCUCACAUCAUCUAUCCUUACAUACAAAGUCUUUACGUCUACUGCAAACAGUUCAGUUCCUUUUACGUUACCCAACUCAUAGUCAGUGGUGAAAACGGCUGAGGUCCCUUUAUCAGAGUUCUCACUCUCAUUUGAGAUGUAAUGCUCCAAACUCUGGCACUUGAGUGCGAUGCAAUGCUCCUGUGUUGAAAUGACGUUCUUGUCCCCUCUCUCGCUGGUGUGCGUUGCCCUGAUCAUCGUUGCUCCACUCGUCUUCCUGCAGUCACAGUAAGGAGGCCCCUCUCUCUCUCAGUAGCAUCCAGGUGCUUAUUCAAUUUCACUUGCCUCGUUUAAUUGUUUCCCACUUGACGCGAGCGGCAAGUCAUGGCUCCGUGUCCUUUCUUCUUGCACUCCAGAAGCUCAAAAUCCACGUAGCGCCACUCAUCUGGCUCGUGCCCUUUUCCCACACAAUGGCAACAUGGUUUACAGGUUUCCUCCGUUUUCUUGGCAACGCUUUUCUCCUCAACUGCAUUUGCUUUGAAAGUAUUUUGUGAAGACUGCAGUGUGCUUUUCCUUGUUACUUCAAAAGAAAAUCCCAUAUCCACAGCCAGUGCUAAUGUUAAAUCGUGUGUGAGCUACAUUCAGUAAACGGUCUCUCAGCUCUGCACUUUUAACACUACACACAGAUAUCACGUACUGACAGACUGAAUUUUCUUAAACUAGCCAAAUACUCACUAAUCGACUCUCCCUCGAGUUGACUCCUUGCAUGAUACUUACAUCUUUCAGCAAUACAAUUUGUCAUCGGUAUGUAGUGACCUUUCAACAGUGCAACCAACUGUCAACGUUGUUUCACUUGGUUUCUGUGGCGCAUUAAAGUCCUGUAAUGACCUGACUAGAUCAUAAUGGAACAAUUGUCCACAGAUGAUUGAGUUUACAAAUUGACGGUUUAUUAACCCAACUUUGCGCAGACUACUGUUUGGCCGUAGCCAACACCAAAUAAAUUAAAGAUAAUCCACAAACCGACCGUGACCUUCUCUUGUGAAAGCCAGAUGUAAGAGAGCGAAGAAAGGCUAAACCUGGAUUUAACUUCCAAUGCUCCACCCCCUCCCCCUGCCCCCUCCCCUCCACGCCACUCCACCAACCACCAGGAUGCCCGGAAUCAGAACAUUCCAGGCAUUGCUGUGAUUGGCAGAUAGCAGGUGGAUUGACAUGUCGGACCCCGCGAACACUGGGUACUGGACAAUGAGAAGCGGUCAACGUUGCAUGCUGCUGCCUAUCUAGGAGAUGCAGAAAUUCUAGAGCUACUCAUAUUAUCAGAGUCUGUCGUCGUCGUCCCCCCCCUCCCCGUCUUUGUGUCCCAGGAGUAAAUGCCAAAGACAAGUGUCUCAAUACACUGCACCGGGCCGUGGCUUCCUGCAGUGAGGAGGCAGUCCAGGUGCUAUUGAAACACUCUGCUGAUGUGAACGCCAGGGACAAGAACUGGCAAACGCCGCUCCACAUCGCUGCGGCCAAUAAGGCGGUCCGCUGUGCCGAGGCCCUGGUCCCUCAGCAAUGUGAACAUGUCGGACCGGGCGCUGCACCAUGCAGCGUACACCAAGAGGCUGGGGGUGGGUGGUUAGCCUCUGCCCUUCACCGCGGACCUUUUUCAUUGUUCCAGUAGGUCGGAGGAGUGAGGUGGAAAAGUCGGCUCUCAUUGCAACAAACAAAAAAAACGAUGGUGAGGCUGCUUCUCUCCAGAGAAGCCAACAUGAAUGCUUUUGACAAGGACCGCCAAGCAAUCCACUGGGCUGCUUACAUGGGUAACGAGUUGACCACAUCAUUUACAUUCUGAAUGUCCUUAUCCCAGUGAGUGAAUGGGCUGUGUGUUAGCCUCACAGCUCAGCUGUAUAGUCCACCACUAGUGUUUUAUUAUGUCAGAAUGAUGGACAAAGUAUGUUGAUAAGAUGUAGGUUUACAAUUGUACUAACAUGUAGCUUCAGCAGCAACGUCAUCAGACGGCCCAGUUGCAGCAUCAGUAGAGUACUCAUAGUCAGACGACAUGUGCCUCAGAUUACAGGUCAUCAUUUGCAGGAGUGCUACCAUGGUUUGGAGAGGCGUGUUGCUGUAGAAUACCUGUCUGUUCUACACAGUCUAGGCCAAAUUGCCAUUUAUGUUGACCAACAUGCACCCCAUGCAGUUCUAAAAGUAUGUUUCAGGCCUUAACUUCUCUGGCAUGUUUAGCGUCAGACCCUAUGGAUCGGAGCAAGGCCAGGGCAUGCACAAUGGAGACGUCAUUUGAUGACAGCUCUGAAAAAUUUAGGUUAAGGUACACAAGCAAAAGGUUUGACAACAUUAUUUAGACUGAGUUACUCUAUGCUGUUGAAUGAGUGUCAAACACAGCAGCACCAUAGACAGUGACAAAGAACAUAGCUAGCAGGGUUGUGGAAAGAAACACUUACCUCCAAGUCUCCUCUGCAGAGAGACUUGAUCUUGCUUCUGGGACUUUCCAACAG
Molecule: RNA transcript, 4600 nt
Organism: Oncorhynchus tshawytscha (Chinook salmon)
Lineage: Eukaryota; Metazoa; Chordata; Actinopteri; Salmoniformes; Salmonidae
Gene name: serine/threonine-protein phosphatase 6 regulatory ankyrin repeat subunit A-like
Exons: 8
Source: RefSeq, a predicted model, not a curated record